CAUCAUGAUCUAGCUGGAUCUGCAAUAUAGACAGGAAAAGGUUGACAUUAGGAGUGCAUAGGUCCUGAGCAUCUACACGCGGUGCCACUGGGUCGCCAGAAGAACAGCGCACUUCAGGGGCACAGAGUGGGGUUGAAGGGUCUGCACACCAGCGCUUGCAGGGUGAGCAGCAAGAGAUCCAGCUCACAGAACCAAACCUGCUGCGAUCCAUGUGACACUGGCAUACUCCAGAAUUGUCCAUUGGAAACACGAGUUCAAGUGCCUCAGGGAGAUUCAGGAGGAGGAACACAGCCCACCCACACUGCACCCCCUUUGCAGUCUGAAGGCAAAGGAUGCUCUGCAGAGCAGCUUGGUUUAGGAGAGACCUGCGGUAGCAGAGGGUGUGGCAGGCAGACCCCUCGGCCUCCCUUAGCUACCUUUUCC
Molecule: long non-coding RNA, 423 nt
Filed under: Pan troglodytes (chimpanzee)
Lineage: Eukaryota; Metazoa; Chordata; Mammalia; Primates; Hominidae
Description: long non-coding RNA NONPTRT018387
Source: RNAcentral